This 280-nucleotide ribosomal RNA is filed under the name uncultured bacterium. RNAcentral describes it as "partial 16S ribosomal RNA". It matches the Rfam family "Bacterial small subunit ribosomal RNA", at positions 506 to 784 of the family's 1533-position model. The record is from RNAcentral.
UGCCAGCAGCCGCGGUAACACGAAGGGUGCUAGCGUUGUUCGGAAUUACUGGGCGUAAAGCGCACGUAGGCGGAUUGUUAAGUCAGGGGUGAAAUCCCGAGGCUCAACCUCGGAACUGCCUUUGAUACUGGCAAUCUUUGAGUCCGGGAGAGGUGAGUGGAAUUCCCAGUGUAGAGGUGAAAUUCGUAGAUAUUGGGAAGAACACCAGUGGCGAAGGCGGCUAACUGGCUCGGUACUGACGCUGAGAUGCGAAAGCGUGGGGAGCAAACAGGAUUAGAUA